AUGAUCUUCAAAUCCUCGUAGUUAUAAAAACUUUGUUUUUUUUCGGAAAUUUUAGAGUUUCUGAAAAAAUUGGGAAAAUUUUAGAUUAGUGAAAUUUCCGAUAGUUAUUAAUCUUUUUUAUUUUUUUCGUUUUUUGCAGUGAAACACAAGGGCAGGAACGACACUAUUGCAGACAAAACGACAGAUAGAGCGGCAGACCAAGCUAGGGCUGCUGAGGCUGAGUCUUCCCAUAUACGUGUUGGACGAGUGGUUCCAAUCGAUUUACACCGGAAACAGUUGACUGAGCAGAUCAGUUUCACGCACUCCGUAGCACCCGACGUCGAGCGGUUAGAUCAGUUGAGCAGCCCAGAGAUGAUGUUGAGGUUGUUCAUGACCCAACAAUCGAGAUAGAUGCGACAAAUAUUAUUGUUGAGGUUGCUAAUGAGGUGGUCCAGCCAAAUGUCAUUAUUGCAAAUGAGGUGGUCCAAUCAGAUGUUAGUGUUGCUGAUCUGGUCCCUUCUACUACUACCGACAUAAAGGUUACGACUCCUUUGAUCGAGCCGUCUAUGCACACUGAUGUAGGAUUCCCGGGAGGAUCCAUUGACCGGUUGUUGCUUAUCAAGUAUGUUGACCAUGUGGCAUACCGACUAUGGCAUGGAGAGACCGCCUCCCAAUGAAGGUUACAUCGCACGGGUCUAAGCUGAAGAACUUUCCGAAGACUCUGAUGCCUGAGCAGGUCAGUCGUAUUGUAUGUGAUUUUGAGCUCCUUGAUUUUGCUGACUGCUCACUUAUCAUGCUCGAUGCUCCACUUCUUACUGCUUUUGUUGAGCAAUGGCACAAGGAGACAUCUUCAUUUCGUAUUUUGUUUGGGGAGAUGACUAUUACUCUGGAUGAUGCCUAAUAAUUGUUCCAUCUCCCCAUUGCCGAAAGAUUUUGGACGAAUCAUGUUAUUAGCCCGUCACUUGCAUGUUUGACUCUUGCACGAGAUUUGGGAGUUUCUGAGGAGACAGUGAUGGAGGAGUUUGGCUUUAACAGGGGAGCUCACCUUCGUAUGUCUUGACUUUGGGAUAGGUUCGAGGAGCUUGUUGCAACACAAAGUUAUGAGGCUACCGCUAGGGUGUACAUGUUACAUCUAGUAUUAUGUACUCUUUUUGCAUACAAGUCAGAUGUUUAUAUCGAUGUCAGUACCUGACGUUGUUCAGUAGCCUUGACGUCACCACUUGGGCUUAGGGGUACGCUGCAUUGACCAUCCUAUAUAUAACACUUGGAGUAGCGACAGUAUUUGAGACCAGACAACUUGCUGUGCUGGAUAUACGAGUAUUUCCCCAUCAUCUGUGAGAGGAGGGUGUAACAUUCCCUAGUGAGGACCCCACUAACGAGGAGAUUGAGGGUCAAACAGUCACAUCCAGGUGGUGUUGUAAAGUACAAGAGGGGGCUAGUUGCACUGACUGUAAAUGAUAUCAUCUAGACAUCAUACACUGAUCAUAGAGUCCACCGCGAGUUUGAUGACUCUUCUUUAUAUUCAGAUUAUAUACGGUGGGAGACCAUGGUUGCUAGACAUUUGCCUGAGAGGUGUCUGCAACAGUAUGGUUACGUUUAGAGCAUCCCACGACCAAUUACGAAUAUUCCAUUUGUGGGCAUUGACAAGUGGAUUCAGAGUAAAAUCAUUAGCUUUGGUCGUGCCAUUAGAGAUCAUGCGGUUACGGUUCAGCAUGCCUCGUAGUGCGAGGAUGGUUACUUGGAAUGGUACCUUAUUGUAUCACACCCUCGCACCAUCCCACCUGUUAAGCAUACAGGUGAUAUUGGGCCUUUCGAUGUUGGGGUACCUGUCAAUGACGUGUGGCCGUCACUUCCUACAGCUGAUGUUGAUGACCAUCAACACCUCUGGAUGAUUGCAGUUAUUCUGAAUAACCUCAUGGAUUUGGUAUAUCCAUAUGACUAGGUUUAUACUAGAUUAUCUCGUGUUGCACACAUAGUCUGUGGGAGA
Molecule: long non-coding RNA, 1966 nt
Organism: Lathyrus oleraceus (garden pea)
Lineage: Eukaryota; Viridiplantae; Streptophyta; Magnoliopsida; Fabales; Fabaceae
Exons: 3
Source: RefSeq, a predicted model, not a curated record